UACAGAGGGUGCGAGCGUUAAUCGGAAUUACUGGGCGUAAAGCGUGCGCAGGCGGUCUCUUAAGACAGGUGUGAAAUCCCCGGGCUUAACCUGGGAACUGCGCUUGUAACUGAGAGGCUAGAGUGUGGCAGAGGGGGGUGGAAUUCCACGUGUAGCAGUGAAAUGCGUAGAGAUGUGGAGGAACACCGAUGGCGAAGGCAGCCCCCUGGGCUAACACUGACGCUCAUGCACGAAAGCGUGGGGAGCAAACAGG
This 253-nucleotide ribosomal RNA is filed under the name uncultured bacterium. RNAcentral describes it as "partial 16S ribosomal RNA". It matches the Rfam family "Bacterial small subunit ribosomal RNA", at positions 524 to 776 of the family's 1533-position model. The record is from RNAcentral.